This 457-nucleotide ribosomal RNA is filed under the name uncultured bacterium. RNAcentral describes it as "bacterial SSU rRNA". It matches the Rfam family "Bacterial small subunit ribosomal RNA", at positions 340 to 786 of the family's 1533-position model. The record is from RNAcentral.
UACGGGAGGCAGCAGUGGGGAAUAUUGCACAAUGGGCGCAAGCCUGAUGCAGCCAUGCCGCGUGUAUGAAAAAGGCCUUCGGGUUGUAAAGUACUUUCAGUCGUGAGGAAGGUGUUAAGGUUAAUAACCUUAGCAAUUGACGUUAGCGACAGAAGAAGCACCGGCUAACUCCGUGCCAGCAGCCGCGGUAAUACGGAGGGUGCGAGCGUUAAUCGGAAUUACUGGGCGUAAAGGGCACGCAGGCGGUUAAUUAAGUUGGAUGUGAAAUCCCCGGGCUUAACCUGGGAAUGGCAUUCAAGACUGGUUAGCUAGAGUCUUGUAGAGGGGGUAGAAUUCCAUGUGUAGCGGUGAAAUGCGUAGAGAUGUGGAGGAAAUACCGGUGGCGAAAGGCGGCCCCUGGACAAAGACUGACGCUCAUGUGCGAAAAGCGUGGGGAGCAAAACAGGGAUUAGAUACC